UGCAGUCGAACGCUUCUUUUUCCACCGGAGCUUGCUCCACCGGAAAAAGAGGAGUGGCGAACGGGUGAGUAACACGUGGGUAACCUGCCCAUCAGAAGGGGAUAACACUUGGAAACAGGUGCUAAUACCGUAUAACAAUCGAAACCGCAUGGUUUUGAUUUGAAAGGCGCUUUCGGGUGUCGCUGAUGGAUGGACCCGCGGUGCAUUAGCUAGUUGGUGAGGUAACGGCUCACCAAGGCGACGAUGCAUAGCCGACCUGAGAGGGUGAUCGGCCACAUUGGGACUGAGACACGGCCCAAACUCCUACGGGAGGCAGCAGUAGGGAAUCUUCGGCAAUGGACGAAAGUCUGACCGAGCAACGCCGCGUGAGUGAAGAAGGUUUUCGGAUCGUAAAACUCUGUUGUUAGAGAAGAACAAGGAUGAGAGUAACUGUUCAUCCCUUGACGGUAUCUAACCAGAAAGCCACGGCUAACUACGUGCCAGCACC
This 487-nucleotide ribosomal RNA is filed under the name Enterococcus hirae. Its description in RNAcentral is "bacterial SSU rRNA". It matches the Rfam family "Bacterial small subunit ribosomal RNA", at positions 56 to 515 of the family's 1533-position model. Lineage: Bacteria; Bacillati; Bacillota; Bacilli; Lactobacillales; Enterococcaceae. The record is from RNAcentral.